CCCUUAGAUGUUCUGGGCCGCACGCGCGCUACACUGAUGCAUUCAACGAGCCUAUCCUUGACCGACAGGUCCGGGUAAUCUUUGAAUCUGCAUCGUGACGGGGAUAGAUUAUUGCAAUUAUUAAUCUUCAACGAGGAAUGCCUAGUAGGCGCAAGUCAUCAGCUUGCGUCGAUUACGUCCCUGCCCUUUGUACACACCGCCCGUCGCUCCUACCGAUUGAAUGGUUUAGUGAGAUCUCCGGAUUGGCUCUGUAGGUCCCGCAAGGGAUUUAUUAGUAGCCAAGAAGCUGCUCAAACUUGAUCAUUUAGAGGAAGUAAAAGUCGUAACA
RNAcentral lists this ribosomal RNA (328 nucleotides) under uncultured eukaryote. Its description in RNAcentral is "partial 18S ribosomal RNA". It matches the Rfam family "Eukaryotic small subunit ribosomal RNA", at positions 1470 to 1796 of the family's 1831-position model. The record is from RNAcentral.